This 77-nucleotide transfer RNA is filed under the name Staphylococcus hominis SK119. RNAcentral describes it as "tRNA-Pro". It matches the Rfam family "tRNA". Rfam says of the family: Transfer RNA (tRNA) molecules are approximately 80 nucleotides in length. The record is from RNAcentral. Lineage: Bacteria; Bacillati; Bacillota; Bacilli; Caryophanales; Staphylococcaceae.
CGGGAAGUAGCUCAGCUUGGUAGAGCACUUGGUUUGGGACCAAGGGGUCGCAGGUUCGAAUCCUGUCUUCCCGAUAG